UACGGAGGGUGCAAACGUUGCUCGGAGUUAUUGGGCGUAAAGCGCACGUAGGCGGUCGGCUAUGUCGGAUGUGAAAGCCUCGGGCUUAACCCGAGAAGGGCAUCCGAAACUGGCCGGCUUGAGUACGGAAGAGGGUCUCGGAAUUCCCGGUGUAGAGGUGAAAUUCGUAGAUAUCGGGAGGAACACCAGUGGCGAAGGCGGAGACCUGGGCCGAUACUGACGCUGAGGUGCGAAAGCGUGGGGAGCAAACAGG
RNAcentral lists this ribosomal RNA (253 nucleotides) under uncultured bacterium. RNAcentral's name for it is "partial 16S ribosomal RNA". It matches the Rfam family "Bacterial small subunit ribosomal RNA", at positions 524 to 776 of the family's 1533-position model. The record is from RNAcentral.